This 21-nucleotide microRNA is filed under the name Lotus japonicus. RNAcentral describes it as "lja-miR11090a-5p". The record is from miRBase by way of RNAcentral. Lineage: Eukaryota; Viridiplantae; Streptophyta; Magnoliopsida; Fabales; Fabaceae.
ACUUUAUAAGAGAUGUGACUC